This 357-nucleotide long non-coding RNA is filed under the name Salvator merianae (Argentine black and white tegu). Its description in RNAcentral is "lncRNA (ENSSMRG00000019253.1)". Lineage: Eukaryota; Metazoa; Chordata; Lepidosauria; Squamata; Teiidae. The record is from RNAcentral.
CUUUGAGAGAACAGACCCUCCUUUGUGCCAGCGAUACAUAACCCAGCUCUGGAUGUGGCCUUCACAGGCCUUGGAAGAUUAGAAUUUCAAUGUAUUUAUGAAGGAAAGCUGUUACAGUCCAGAUUAUCUCCUGCUGGCAAAUGACAAGUUUUGCUUAGAGCAUUCUAAUUAUCAAUUCAGUUCGAAAUGAGGGACAAGAAAGAAGACACCCAUGAAAACCAUGCCCAGAACCAUCCAAAAAGCANCCCAAGGCUGCCUACUUUUCACCUAUCCAGUCUCCUGAUAAGAGAGGUUUGGUUCAUCUUCCCAUUGGUUCUGGCCCCCCAAAUACAUGCAGGUUCCAAAUGUAAGUUUUUU